GAUAAACGCUGGCGGCGUGCUUAACACAUGCAAGUCGAACGGAGUGGUCCUCCCGAAGACCUGAUUGAGCUUGCUCUUGAUGGAAUUCAUUUGGAUCACUUAGUGGCGGACGGGUGAGUAACGCGUGGGUAACCUGCCCUAUACUGGGGGAUAGCAGUUGGAAACGACUGAUAAUACCGCAUAAGCGCACAGCACCGCAUGGUGCAGUGUGAAAAACUCCGGUGGUAUAGGAUGGACCCGCGUCUGAUUAGCUAGUUGGUGAGGUAACGGCCCACCAAGGCGACGAUCAGUAGCCGGCCUGAGAGGGUGUACGGCCACAUUGGGACUGAGACACGGCCCAAACUCCUACGGGAGGCAGCAGUGGGGAAUAUUGGACAAUGGGGGAAACCCUGAUCCAGCGACGCCGCGUGAGUGAAGAAGUAUCUCGGUAUGUAAAGCUCUAUCAGCAGGGAAGAUAAUGAC
Molecule: ribosomal RNA, 462 nt
Filed under: bacterium AC3010
Lineage: Bacteria
Description: bacterial SSU rRNA
Rfam family: Bacterial small subunit ribosomal RNA
Source: RNAcentral